This 163-nucleotide small nuclear RNA is filed under the name Echinops telfairi (small Madagascar hedgehog). RNAcentral describes it as "U1 spliceosomal RNA (ENSETEG00000020751.1)". It matches the Rfam family "U1 spliceosomal RNA". Rfam says of the family: U1 is a small nuclear RNA (snRNA) component of the spliceosome (involved in pre-mRNA splicing). Its 5' end forms complementary base pairs with the 5' splice junction, thus defining the 5' donor site of an intron. Lineage: Eukaryota; Metazoa; Chordata; Mammalia; Afrosoricida; Tenrecidae. The record is from RNAcentral.
AUACUUACCUGGCAGGGAGACACCAUGAUCAGGAAGGUGGUUUUCCCAGGGCGAGGCUCACCCAUUCCACUGUGGGUGUGCUGACCCCUGCAAUUUCCGCAAAUGUGGGAAACUCAACUGCAUAAUUUGUGGUAGUGGGGGACUACAUUCAUGCUCUUCCCUG